Molecule: microRNA precursor, 134 nt
Filed under: Olea europaea subsp. europaea
Lineage: Eukaryota; Viridiplantae; Streptophyta; Magnoliopsida; Lamiales; Oleaceae
Source: RNAcentral
CCAUUGGGAACACUCCGCGCAGCGCGGAGUUUCCCAGGUUUUGGGACGCUCCGCGCAGCACACGCGGAGUGUUCCAGCUGCGCGGAGCGUUCCAGGUUUUGGGACGCUCCGCGCAGCGCGGAGCAUCCCAUUGG